This is a long non-coding RNA of Seriola aureovittata, 1236 nucleotides long. RefSeq lists it as uncharacterized. Lineage: Eukaryota; Metazoa; Chordata; Actinopteri; Carangiformes; Carangidae. The transcript is spliced from 3 exons. The record is from RefSeq and is a predicted model, not a curated record.
CCCAUAGCGGGGACAGGGACCAGAUCCGGUGAUUAGCAGGGCAAGCGUAGGGGCCAGGCAGCUGAGUGGUGGAGUGGUUUGUUUUUUUGUUUUUUUUCCCCCCUUCCUUUUCCGGGGGGGGGGGGGUUUGCUCAACCUGGCUGGUUGGUUGGGUGCAGCACCAUCACCCAAUCCCAUUUAGCACCUACUACCUCUAGGGUAGCCCCAGUGAACACCAGGGACCGGGACCAGGGCCCACACCGCCGCUGCUGCCAAAAGCUGCAACCAGAGGACUGUUGGAUGAGAGGCUGUGAACUGAAUAUGUUGUUGAUUGACUGUGUGUGUGUGUGAGUGUGAGUGCAAAAGAUAUAAAAAUUACUGGUAGUAGAGAAAGAGAGGGGAGAAAAGUAGAGAGAGGAAGAAAAAAAACAACAGAAUGUUAUGGGAGGUCACUGUGUGUUCCCAUCUGUCUCAUGUUGUUGUCACAGCGGUGGGAGAUGAGAGUGUUGCGAGGAAGCAGCCCCGAGUGCUACGGGGCAGCUAGGUGUUUGUAACAAGACCUAUGAGCCGACCCGACACACGGAGACACCGACACCGCGCUCACGCCGCGGCACACCAACACACACACAUCUGUCUGUUCACUCCCGAGCGCGUGUGUCAGCUUCUUCACGGAUCUCCUGGAGAAGUCCCUCCUCUCCGGUUAAAGACAGGAGAUAUGAAGUCUAACGCACACGGAGAUGGAGAGAAAGAAGUACAGCAAGAGGAGAAGGGAAGCUGACCAGGAGGGGGGCCAAUUACCGAUCUAUUCAGCCCGUGCCGAGAUGAUUGAGUUUCAUAAAAAUCUAUAAUCAUCUAUCAAGAGUUAGAAAGUAUUAACACAUUUUGAGCUGAUGUUAUUCUAUCAAAUGUAAAUGCACAUUGAAGCAUGACAGGCAGCAGAGCAGGAUUCAUCGACUGGAGAGGGAUUUCAUCCAUGUUGCUAUGUAUGCUUGGUUCUUGUAUUUUUCCUUUCAUCACAGGCACGCACACACACACACACACACGUCCUCGCUGGUGUGUGUGUGGGAGACAGAUUUACAACUGAAGGUCUCUGGUGGAGGUCAGGGUAAAAUAGACCAGAGACCUCACCUUCACCACGGUCUAAAUGAACCUGACAAGCAUCUCUCCUCCUUUUAACAAGAACCUUAUCUUAGAGUCUUAAAAUAAAUACCUUACUAACUGACCACUUAUUUGUAUUAUGCAUCUGCUUUCAUUAAA